CCUGCCCCUAAAGGCAUUGUAGGUGUGUGACUACUGUGUCACAUGUACGCCAGUGGGUGGCAGAGAAGACAAAGGCUGUGUCUAUACUCAGUUUUCUGGCCUGUGAGCAUCUGAAUGAUUAGUAGCCUAACACU
Apodemus sylvaticus (European woodmouse) is the source of this 134-nucleotide small nucleolar RNA. RefSeq annotates it as small nucleolar RNA SNORA17. The record is from RefSeq and is a predicted model, not a curated record. NCBI's taxonomy places the organism in Eukaryota, Metazoa, Chordata, Mammalia, Rodentia, Muridae. The transcript has a single exon.